CGUCCUCCUUUCUAUUUUUGAUAGUAAAUCUAAGUAGAAGUAUUUAGUAAAUUGAAAUAUUAUUGAAUGCCGAAUAUCACUUCUAAAACUACAAUGUGUUAAUCAUUUGCCCCUCGUAUACUCGAUGGUCUAUCAAGAAGGUCAGCUGGGACAUAAAUUUGUAUUUGUCAGACACAAACUUUCAUUUCUUCCUGACCACGUUGCUAUCUUAUAUUUCAGAACAUUAAGUAUAACGUUCUUACUUAAUCAUUGAAUUAAAGAAUUCUGUAGAUAAAACUGAAAAAAAAUGAAUUAUUUUACUAAAGCAUUUAUAGUAAUUCUAGCAUUGUUAUCUGUGAUAAAAUUUAAUACUGGAGCACCAGUAGAAAAUACUUCCCUUACAAGUGGAUCUGACGCAAAAUCUGCAUUUGGACAGGCCUUUGAUGAGAUAGUAGUAGAAUCUACGCUUAACGUCAAAAGAAAAGGCAGUGGAAGACAAUCCAGAAAUAACCAACCUUCGAUCACAAGAACUAAACGACAACACGGCGUCGGGAUCUCAAUCCCAGUCGUUGGCUUUUGGGCCUAAGGGCCCAUUUGGUUCAGCUUCUUUCGCAGGAUCUCAACAAUACAUGUUACCAAAUGGAGAAACCAUAAAUAUAGCAUUCGGUAAUUCUAUAGGAAAUUCUGAAUCUAAUAAAGCCGGAGGUGCGACUAUUUCUAUAAGCAGUCCCAAAAGAUGACGAUAAUAUGAUACCUAUAGUUAUUUUAAUACUAUGUAUAUACAAUUUCUUGCUUACAUUUUAAAUGUUUAAAUAAAGGUUACAAAAAAAUAAA
Molecule: unclassified non-coding RNA, 813 nt
Filed under: Sitophilus oryzae (rice weevil)
Lineage: Eukaryota; Metazoa; Arthropoda; Insecta; Coleoptera; Curculionidae
Description: uncharacterized LOC115875931, transcript variant X2
Source: RNAcentral